Molecule: long non-coding RNA, 330 nt
Filed under: Salmo salar (Atlantic salmon)
Lineage: Eukaryota; Metazoa; Chordata; Actinopteri; Salmoniformes; Salmonidae
Description: lncRNA (ENSSSAG00000112450.1)
Source: RNAcentral
UAGAGAGAGUUAGCUUUAGCAGUGCGGAGAGCCUCCGUGACACAGAGAAGAGCAGUCUCAGUUGAAUGACCAGUCUUGAAACCUGACUGAUUUGGAUUAAGAAGGUCAUUCUGAGAGAGAUAGCAGGAGAGCUGGCCAAGGACGGCACGUUCAAGAGUUUUGGAGAGAAAAGAAAGAAGGGAUACUGGUCUGUAGUUGUUGACAUCGGAGGGAUCGAGUGUAGGUUUUUUCAGAAGGGGUGCAACUCUCGCUCUCUUGAAGACGGAAGGGACGUAGCCAGCGGUCAAGGAUGAGUUGAUGAGCGAGGUAAGAAGGUCUCCGGAAAUGGUC